This 10887-nucleotide long non-coding RNA is filed under the name Vitis vinifera (wine grape). RNAcentral's name for it is "long non-coding RNA (VVIN_LNC006053)". Lineage: Eukaryota; Viridiplantae; Streptophyta; Magnoliopsida; Vitales; Vitaceae. The record is from RNAcentral.
CAGAGACUUCUUGAACCACCUGGAAGCUUACCUCGCAAAGAGAGAUGGAGUCGACAAGCUUCUAAAGAUCUCCAGGUACGCCACCAAGAUCAUCCUCGCUUCCUCGCUCCUCCCGGAAACCUUGACCCUAAAUCGCCGACUCAAGAGCUUUGAGUCCAGCGUCGGUGUGAGUCGCAAAGCCUUCAGACUAGGCAAAUUCGUUCAAGAUUUGAACGCAUUAAGAAACUCGUGUUUCGAUUCGAAAGAAGAUGUGAUCCUCUCCAUCAUUGCCUACGGAGGCGAGGGUUUGUACAUGUUUGUCGAACAGUUCGUGUGGUUUGUUAAAUCGGGUUUGAUCGACGCCAAGCACUCGCGUAAUUUGCAGAAGAUCAGUGCUUGGGCUGGGUUCGUUGGGCACAUAGGGAGUAUCUCGUUGAAAAUUAGGGAUUUGAAGCGGAUCAAUGAAGACGAGUCGCGCUUGCUGUCGACCAUCGAGAUUUCGAUUUCCCGAGGACUUAAGUACGACGAGGAAGCGAAAAAGAUUCACAAAUUGAAGGAGAAAAGGUUGAUGAAGAGGCUGUCAAUUGUUCAAGAUUUGGCCGACGGGUUAAUGGCGUUGGCGGAUAUUCGGGACGGAAAGGGGCGGCUUUCAGGGCCGCUUCUGAUGUCAUCUGCUGGGCUUUUAUCUGCACUUACUAGUGCUCAUAAGAAUUGGCUGUCUUGCUGACACUAAUUAUGGUUUGACAAGGUAUGAUUCUUUCGCCCUGUGUCUUUCUUAUUGAAUUAUAAAUUCAGUCUGGCUAGUGUAUUCAAACUAUUUAGUAGAGAGAGCAAGCGAGAGCUCUCCUACUGUCAGUGUAGGAGAUAGAAUGUGAACCCACAAAAUUUAUUCUCUUCCGUUUGUUAUACUUCUAAUGAGGAAUAAAAUCAUACACAAGCAGUGGUUCAAAUAUAACUUUGUUUGUCAAUAUGUUUGUGACUCUCAUUUAUCUUUGCUAUAAAUGGAGAGUUCUAGGUUUCUUUAUGGGCAACUCAUGUUCACACUCAAUCCAUUCUAGUAAUUAUAUCAAUGUCAAUCUUUCUGAAUUUUAAUGUACUUCUGGGUAUCCGUUGCAGAUAUACUAAGAGUGAAUGGUCCCUUGUUUUUAAGGCCCAACUGGUUUUGAAGACCUUGAGGAUUAGACCAUUUCACAAAAUAAGUGAGAUAGAACUGGGCUAUAUAGUUUAUAACAAGGUGAAUUCAAGUAUUGGGGAGGAUACAACAAUAAAUUAGCUUUCAAGAAAGCCCAAUUCAAUGUGCGAUGAGCCAUGCCAAGGUCUAGCUUGAGGAUUAUGACUCAUUUGUGAUAUCCAAGUUGCAUGUACGUGAUAUCUAAUAUAAUAAGGAACUGACAAUGACAUCUUUUAAAGUCAUGAAGGGCCAUUAGCCUAAAAUGGAUAAUAUCCAUAUGUUGGGAGUAUGCCAUUACAAAUGGUAUUAUAAUUGAGCCAAUCCGAUGUGGGUCUAUGUCUAUUGGGACCACAAGGCAUUUUGCCUAUUUGACACGAUGUUAUGUUUGCAGGGAACACAUUGAUUCCUUUUACCUAUAUAGAUGACUUUUAAAGCCAUGGGAGUUCAUUAGGCUCAAAAUAUGCCAAUAUCUACAUGGAAGUGCGUUUGGUGCAUUUUUCAACGUGGGGAAUAAUGUAAUGAAAGCGGAGGCAUAUCUGCCCCAAGGGUUCAUGGAAAGGAUUCAAGAAGUUGGACUGGUGAUCCCGUCCUGGGCUCCACAAGUGGCGGUGCUCCGCCACCCCUCCACCGGCGGAUUCCUCUCACAUUGCGGGUGGAACUCGACCUUGGAAAGCAUAAGCCACGGCGUUCCCAUGAUUGCGUGGCCGCUGUACGCGGAACAAAGGAUGAAUGCCACGAUGUUGACGGAAGAGGUGGGGGUGGCAGCGCGUCCAGUGGUGGGAGAAGGGAAAAACGUAGUGGAACGGGAGGAGAUAGAGAGGGUGGUGAGGUUGGUGAUGGAAGGUGAAGAGGGGAAAGAGAUGAGGCGUAGGGUGCGAGAGCUGCAAAGCAGUGCCCUGGCCACACUGAAACCAGGUAGGCCAUCUUUUGAGUCCCUUUCUGAAGUGGCUGGGACCUGGACAACCACCGCUCAUUAGUUCGCUGCGACACGUCCCACAUAUAAUUUGUUUGCUGUCUCUUUUUAUUUAUUAAUCGUCGCACCAAUAAUACUACACGGUCUUGGCUUCGAGUAGCAGGUGGGGGCGGGUUGAAGUCUUGAAAGUUGAGACCGCAGAUAGUACGUAUUCCUUCUUUUUGUUAUUUCUUUUUAUAUUCUAAUAUAAGUCUCGUAGAAAAAUAUCCGUGGAAGAUUGAAACACCAUAACAGCAUUCGCAAAAGAUUAAAACAAGAUAAAUCUUAUUAUCAAAAAAUCUUUUUUUUUUCUAAGUAAAAUUACACUUUUAUUUUUAUUUUCUAUUUUAUUUAAAUACAAAAAUAUGUGUAAAUAUUAUAUAGAAAAUAUUUUUAAUAAAAACAUAUCGAGAAGUUAUGCAUAUAAUUACUAAUUUUUUUCAAUUAUAUUAUAUAACAUAAAGUUAUAUAAAUUAAAGUUGUAUAACAAAAAACUAUAUAAUAAAUAUUUUAUAGUCUAAAGCUAUAUAUAAACUUAUAUAUUUUUGUUAUAAUAAAAUAUAUAAAAUAGAAUGUAUAGUAAGAAAUUAUAUAAAAAAAAAUUUCAUAGUUAGAAGUUAUGUAAGCUGUAUUUUCUACGCUUAAGUUAGAAACUUGAAAAUGUUGAUAUCCUAAUUUUGUUUUACUAUAAGCUUUACAAAAAAAAUUUCAUUGGUAGAAACCAUGAAAAUUUUCUGUUGAUAAUUAUUUCAUAGUAGGACCUUUGUGGACAAUUUCUAAAAUUUUAUUGUUUAACUAGAAGUUAUAUAAAGUAACCUUGUUAAUCAACAAUUCUAUAACUAGAAGUUAUAUAGAGAGUUUCUAACUAUGAUAUAACUAAAAGUUAUACAAAACUAAAUUAUUAAUCAACAAUUACAAUUACAAAAUUUUAUAUUUAGAAGUUAUAUAGAAAAUAUUUCAUAACUUAAUGUUAUGCAAAAUUUUCAUUUUAUCGUGAUAAAAUUAUUCAUAGUCAAAACAUAUAACAAAUUUAUUCUUUCAUUCUUAUUAUUUAUUUAAUAUUGUUUAAUUAUUAUGUUACUUUCUUGAGUUUAUAAUAAUUAUUUUACUUUAUGAUAAUUGAUCAAUUUUCUCUAUUGUUCAAAAUAUUAAGCCUUUUUAUAUAGCAACUUUAAUAAUAAUAAAAAAAAAACCCAAAGAAAGAGUCACUACAACUUUUAUAAUAUUUCGUGUAUCAUUCUAAGGGAUUGAUUUAUGGAAUUUGUCGAUACUAGAAUAAAUGAACCAAUUUUAUUUAAAUUAUAAAGUAAAAAACAACAUGUGAAUUAACUUUUAUAAAGUGAAACUAAGUAGAAGAAACUAAAUUAAUAAUAAAAUGAAUAUUGAUUUUUAAUUCAAUUGAUUCAAGUAUGGAGUUUUCCACAAUCCAACUCAAGAUAUAAAAACAGAGAGAACAAAAGUUUUUUAAGUUAAGUGAUCUUUGGGUUUUGAGAUUCUUGACCGCUCGUGAUCAACUUGAGCUUUAUAACUCGAAAUUGUAUCUGAAACCUUUUUUUUUUUUAAAUAGAUUAAUAAAAUUAUCAAAUGAAUAAGAUUGAUUAUCAGUUUAAGGUUUGACUUUCUAACCAUUUCUACUCCAUAUUGUUUUAUUUUAAGACAAAUAAUGAUAAGGAAAACCAAGAUAACUAAUAAUCAAUAGUUACCAAGAAUCAUUAGUAUUAGAUAAUAACCUACCAUCUCGUUCCAUAAACUAACUCAUAAGGAUAGGACAAAAAAAUUGAUAAAUUGUAACACAACCAGUAAUUAAUCUCAUUAUUCCAAUAAUUUACCCAUCAUUUCUAUAACCUUAGGCUUUCAUGCUUCAAGUCCCAAGUUGGCUUUUUAGCUUCUUAUAGAGUAAAAAUCCAUAAUUCAAAUUAAAAGAAACUAAAAACAAUAUAUUCAAUAAAGAAGAAAAUAAAGAAACCAAAGUUUUUGUCUUCUUCCCCACAAAAAUGCCAAACUCCUGGGAAAAUCCCUAAACCCUAUAAUUAAGAACGUUUAUAUAAUAUUAUUAAUGACCUAAUAUGUGACACACUCUCAUUGGUCACUGAUUCGAGCCAAAAUAUGUGCUUUAAUGGCACAUAUUCGAUAGGAUUUGUACACUAAAUGACACUCAAAUCACCCAACUUGACCUAAAUUGAUGCUAAGGUCUUAGCUAUGAGUUUAACUUGUAUUUUAGAGAUUUAUCUCGAGUUCAAUGGAAGAAAAUAAUGUAAGUUGAAUCACUUUAGAUUUUGAAAGAUCAAGAAACUAUUAAAAGAGGAAAUAAGCAAGUCAAGACUUAUAGACCAUGAGGAAAUGCAAGAUGAGGAUAUCAUAAGUUUGGGAGAUGAGAAAUGACCAUUAUGGAAUAAGAAAGAAGGCAAGAAAACGUAGGAAAUGACACAUGAAACAAGAUUCACUUGCGGGGAAAUUUAAAACUCAAAAUCUGGUGGUAACAUAUAUCAUUUCAAAGCUCAAGAAGUCAAGAGUCCAAGAAUUUAAACAAUGUACAAAUCAAAGCUGAAAAUGAAAAAGUUAUGGUCAUUUAAAGACAACUAUGCAAAGCUGAAGGACAAUUUCGAAAUGAUUUUGAAAUUCAACUUAUGAAUUUGAAAUCCAAUUCGAAAUGACUCCAAUUUUGAAUUCACCCACUAGCAUUUUGAUGUUUCGUCUCCUUUACAUCGAGAAUUUCAUAUAGGGCACUUCAUCUGCCUUUAGUGGGUCUCACACGACUAGAAAUCACCAUUUUAUUAUUAUUAUUUUUAGUCAUUUUUAGGUAAUUAUUUUGUAAUGAGUGGUCAAUGAGAGUGUGCCACAUGUUAGGUAAUUGAUGAUAUUAUAUAAACUUUAUUAGUUCUAGGAUUUAAAUAUCUUAGAUCAUCUUCCAAGGAGUUUGACAUUAAAGGUGGAAGAACACGAGAACUUUGAUUUGUUUUUUUUUUUAUUCUUUAUUAAAUAUAUUGUUUUUAGUUUCUUUGAUUCAAAUUAUGGAUUUUUACCCUAUUAUGGAUUGUGAAUGUGACAUCACCCCCAUGAGAGGCUAAAAAGCCAACUUGGGGCUUGAAACAUGAAAACAUAAUGACUAGAAACUUAUAAGAAUAAUAGGUAAAUUAUUGUAACAAUGAAAUUGAUUAUUGGUUGGAUUACAAUUUAUCAAUUUUUAUCUUAUCCUUGUGAGUUAGUUUAGGGAAUGAUACGUUGGGUUAUUACCCGAUACUAAUGAUUUUUGGUAACUAUUGAUCAUUAUUUAUCAUGGUCUUCUUUAUCAUUAUUUGCCCCAAAACAAAGUUAUAAGGAGUAUGAAAAGUUAAAAAGCUAAAUUUUAAACUAGUAAUUAAUCUCAUUUAUUUGAUGGUAUUAGGAAUUUGUUUUAAAAAAAGAAAAAUUACGUUUCAAAUGCAAUUUUGAGUUAUAUAAUUCAAGUUGAUCACUAGCAGCCAAGGAUCUCGAAACCUUAAGAUCAUAUUACUUAAAAGACUCUUGUUUUCUCUAGUUUCUAUACCCUAAGUUGGAUUGUGGAAAAACCCAAACUUGAAUAAAUCAAAUUUAAAAUCAAUAUUUAUUUUGUUAUUAAUUUAAUUUAUUUUAUAUAGUUUCAAUUUAUUCACAUAUCGUUUUCCACUUCAAGAUUCAAACAAAAACAAUUCAUUUACUCUAGUAUUGACAAAUCUCAUAAGCUAGUCCCUGAGAAUGAUACAUGGGAUACUACAAAAGUUGUAGCAGUUUUUCUUUUAUUUUUCUUAGUUAGAACUACUACGUAUUAGGCUUAAGUAUUUUGGUAAAAUAGAGAUUUAUAGUCAAUCACUUAUUACAAGAAAAAGUCAUAAACAACCUAAAAAGUUUCAAAAACUACGAGUUCUAAAUGAGUACAAAGCAUUUUGAAUUGGAUAAAGGCAUUUGGAACUCAUUUCGACGUGUCUAAGGGCUCAAAUUCGAUCACUAGUGGUUAAGUUCGAAAUUUGGGUGAGUUCUAAGUCAAUUUCAAACUCAUAAGUGGAAAAAGGAGGUCAAAUUCGAAAUCGAGGGGUUGAGUUCAAAAUGCACAAUGAAAUUCAAACUCAGCAUUCUUUUCUAUCCAGUUUGCUUCAAAUGCGCAUAACUUCCUCGUUUUGACUUUGAUUUGCACACUAUUUGAAGUGUUGGAUUCUUGACUUCUAGAUCUUCGAAAUGAUAUACAUAUCUUGCCCAAAAUAAACUUUGGGAAUUGUUCCAAAAUUUGCCUCUAGAUCAGAGUAUAUGUUGCCACUGGAUUUUGAGUUCCAAAUUUCCAUGCAAAUUUUAUGAUUUUGCUUCAUGCCUCAUUGUCCAUGUUUGUGUGCCUUCUUUCUUACUUCAUAAUGAUCAACCCUCAUUUCCCAAACUCAUGACAUCCUCGCAUUGCAUUUCCUUAAAUUCCAUGAGUCUUGACUCACUCAAUUUCUCAUUUAAACCUCUUGAUAUUUCAAAAUCUAAAAUGGUUUCAACUUGUACCCUUUUAUUCCCUCAAACUUGAGAUAAAUGUUUGAAAUAAAACUUAAACUUAUAGCUAGGGCCUUAGCAUUGAUUUAAAUUAAGUUAGGUGAUUUUUGUGUCAUUUGGUGCACAAAUCAUAUUGAAUAUGUGCCAUUGGAGCACAUAUGUUGGCUCUAAUUAACCGUUUAACAUCUUUUCUGAUUUAGUCCCCAAAAAAGGUAGAUGAAGCUUCUUACUAUAUAGAUAAUCUUUGAUUUGCAUUCUCUAAAAAGUAAAAUUUGUACUAUCAAACUUCUCCAUUCCAUGUGUUGAACCAUCUUCGCUAACCAUCGCUCUCAAUUACAACAAAAAAACUAUGAUACUAGUUGUUAGGAUUAAAACACCAUAAUCCUAUUUUCAAAGGGACAAUAAACGAAUACGAAAAAUUAAAAUACAAGAACACAUAAGAUUUAUAGUGGUUUACUCUCAAUGUGAGAACUAUGUCCACUUGCAAUCGAUGUAGAAUUUCACUAUGAUGAAAUGAAAAUUACAAGAAAAUAAAAAACGCCUCACCCUCUAGGUUUUUCUCUCUACAUUUUUUCCAUUUCUUUCAAUUGCACUCAAUCACUCAAAGUCAGUUAUCCUAAACAUAACAAAAUUAUGGUAGCCAAAUUACAUAUUUAAAAUCCUUAAAAGUACCCCAACUUAAAAUGCCUUUAAAAAAUUUCGUCAAUUCACAUACAACCCACAUUUUGUCUCUGCAUAGGAUUAAUCUGCAUCAAGGCGAACAUUGUUAAGAGAAUAAUUAAGCUUCACACAUCUUAACAUAUUAUCACUUCAAAUAGUCAAUAUGUACGAUUACAUACUCAGAUCACAUAGCCCACUAAAAAAAAAGAAAACAUAAUUUCAUAAUAAUACAAAAAACAUGUAAUAAUAAUAUACAAAUAAGUGAAUUAGUUACUAUUAAACACAUAAUAACAAACCAUAUAAAGAAAAAUGAAUCGAUAACCGUACGAAUAAAUAAUAAUCAACAACACACAAUGAGAUACAACUAAAAUAAUGCUAUAAACUUAAUGUCAAAAUCACACAUAAAAGUUCAAAACUUAAGCAAUAUUCUUAUUAUAAAUCUUGGAAAGGAUUCUUUAUACAUUGGAUAAUAACUUUGAAUAGAAUGGUGAGUGAAAACUUUGAUUAAUAUAUUAGUUCCUUUUCUAUUUUUUUUCUUCCUUCAAGAGGGAAUAAUGAGCUUAAAAAGAUCUUUAAAGCAUAACAUAAAUACAUAGAUGCCCGCUAUAUAUGCAAGUAAAUGUGAUGUGGUAAAGCCUGAAAUUUUCAAAAUUUAUAGAAAUUUUUUUCGGUUGUCAAAUUAAAGAUAAUCCUUGUAUUAAACAAGCUCUCCUCUUUAAUGAAGAGUCACACAUAAUUGAAUUUCAAUUGAAAAAAGAAAAUUAUGUAUUUAUUCUUCAUCCUUAUCUUCAUGAUCAUUGGUUGUUGAGUCAAGAGUAUUCUACUUAUAAGUAGAUAAGGUAUUACAAAUGGGAAAUACCAAACUUCUCAUGCAUGCAAAAUUUAGAAGAACUAUAUAUACAUAUAUAUUUAGGGAUUAGAACAAAUAAUUAAAGUGAAUCUAUUAACCAUGGUUAAAAUCAUCAUUUAUGAUAGUUUCAUAUAAUCAAGAUUUUCACAAAUACUAAGGUCCUAUUUGGUAACUGCUUUUAAAAACGGUACAAAAAAAUAGUUUUUGAAAAAUAUUGUAUGAUGUUUUGUAAAACAAAAGUUUAUUUGAAAUCUGAAAUGUUUUUAACAUGUUUUUAAUAUUUUUUAAAAUAAUUUUUAUAUCUAGGGUUUUAUUUUUAAUCACCAUAUUAUAAUUAUUUUUUUUUAAAUAGUUAUAAAAAAAUUAAGUGAAAAUAACUAAAAAUAUUAUCUGAAAAUAUCAUGUUUUUUAUUAUUGAGAACAUAAAAUAGAAAAUAGUUUCCUAGCUAUCCAAUGCAUUUUUUAAUUUUUAAUUUUAAAAAAUAGAAAACCGUUUUCCAAAAGAGUCACCAAACUGAACCUAAAAUUUUAAAAAAAAGAAGCUUAUGACUAAAAUUCUUAUUGGUAAGACCACAAUUUUGGCCUAGGGCUUGGCUCGUAAGGCCUUUCCAAGACCUUGAAAACUCCAUCCAAAUUGGAAGUCCCAAAACACCGUGGAACACACAUGGAUUAGGAAAUAUUGGUAUGAUUCUGUAACUUAUUGUGCAGUAUUUGGGAGACGACACAAGACACAUAGAACUCUUGAAAACAAAAUAGAAAUCAGUUCUCCCAAUCCAAGUGCUUUACAACUAUAACCUUAAAAUAUGUGGAAUAACAACCCAAGAAACCCUACAAAAUCAUAUUCCUUUAAGAAACUCAAGGAAAUACACGGCACUAAUAAAACUUUAUCACAUUUUUUUUUUUAAUCUUAAUUGAACUUUUCUUUUGAGUUUACUUUUAUCGAAGACUCCAUGUAAAUUUUAAAAGGGAAAGGCGGUUUCCAAUAAUUUAAAAAAAUAUAUAUAUAAAAUAACUUCAACUUUUAUAAAUAUGAUUUAUCUCUAUCAAUUUAAAAAUAUUUUUAAAUACAUAUAUUUUUUUAAUUAUCUACUAAAACGACAUUUUACUUGUCAAGUUAAUAACAUAAUCGACAAUUUAUUUAUUUUUUAUCAUGAUAAAUUUCAGAUUAAUAAAAUAGGAAAUUUUAAAAAAUUAAAAAUAUAAUUAAAGCUAAAAAAAAUUUAUAACUAAAAAUAUAAAAAUAAAAUAUUAACUUUCGCUUCACUAAAUCACAUUAGUAGAAAACGUAGAUUCAAGAAAAAAUAGGAAAUACAAUAGAAUUCAAUAUUUUAUCUUUUCUAAUUUUAAAGUUUUUUGGUUUUAAUUGUAUUUAAUUUUUAAUUUUUUGUUUUAAUUGUAUUUAAUUUUAAAAAAUAUUAGUUUCAAUUGUAUUUUAAAAUUUUUAAAAUUUUUUAUUUUAUUGUUGAUGACAACUACCAAAAUUUUUAUUCAAUUUUAUUUUUAAAAAAAAUGAUAAAGUAGAUUUUUAUAAUAUAGGAUAUAAAAUCAUUAUUAAUUAGAGAAUGAAAAAUUUUUAUUUAUCAUUGGGGAUGUUGGAUAAUUUUUUGUAAAAUAAUCUAUAUCUCAUGUUUCAUAAUAAAAAAAAUUAUAAUAUAUUUAUUAGUGAGAUAAUUUUAUUAAAUUAAAAUAAUAAAUUAAUUUUUUGAUAAUUUUAUUUAAUAUUAUAAAAUAAAAUGAUAUUUUAAGAAAUAAACAUCUAAUUUAUAAUAUAUAUAUAUAUAAUGUUUUAAAAUGUUUUUAAACGAAUGAAGAUAUAAUUGAUUUAUAAAAAUUGAGGUUGUUCUUUCUAUAUUUUUUUAAAUUAGCGAGUAAAAAAUCGCUUUGUAAAAUUAUUUUUUAUGAAUUUUACUUUUUAGAAAUUACAAUAUCCAUGCAAAAAGCCAGAGGAUGAGGUGGGAUUUAGAAUUUUGGAGGGUGAGAUGGUGAAAGGAUACGGAGGAAGCAAAACAAAGAAUUCAGAUUCAGCUGGUGGGCCGCGUCAUGGGUGAGGCAGGGGCACGCACGCAUUACGAGCACAUCCAACGUAUCACAGGUCGAUUUUCUUGCCUCCCACUCACGGGCCCCCUUCCCGAGUUCAUUCCAAUCUUUUUGUUAUAUGUUUUGAUCCUUAGAAAUGAUGAAAAUGAACUUAUCCCUUAAAUUUUGUAUUCCAGAACGCAUAUCAACCGCCUCCAUGUCUGCAAUCUGCAUAACCUAAUGCAUGGGUACUGGUGUAAAAACUAAAAACCUAAAACUUCGUAUAUUGGGAAACGUGGAUUUGACCAAUAAGGAUAGAAUGCCUACCACCACGACGUCGUUUGGUACGAUGGAUUGCUUGACAAGUUGGGUUUUUCCAUUUGCAAAUUUCGGCGCUGUACACACCUGCCAAUUUCUGUACCUCAACCUCAAUGGAAACCAAAGCUCCGUCCAAUCUCGCUUCUUCGCAAAACCCUAAAUCCUCAAUUACAAAAUCAGUAAGCAAUAACAGAGACUUCUUGAACCACCUGGAAGCUUACCUCGCAAAGAGAGAUGGAGUCGACAAGCUUCUAAAGAUCUCCAGGUACGCCACCAGGAUCAUCCUCGCUUCCUCGCUCCUCCCCGAAACCUUGACCCUAAAUCGCCGACUCAAGAGCUUUGAGUCCAGCGUCGGUGUGAGUCGCAAAGCCUUCAGACUAGGCAAAUUCGUUCAAGAUUUGAACGCAUUAAGAAACACGUGUUUCGAUUCGAAAGAAGAUGUGAUCCUCUCCAUCAUUG